Molecule: small nucleolar RNA, 144 nt
Organism: Acomys russatus (golden spiny mouse)
Lineage: Eukaryota; Metazoa; Chordata; Mammalia; Rodentia; Muridae
Product: small nucleolar RNA SNORA48
Exons: 1
Source: RefSeq, a predicted model, not a curated record
ACCCCAUGACAAUGGGCAAAGCAACAGAUUAUUGGUAGUAUUGUUCUUAUAUAAGUCAGGGGCAAAGCAGAUGGCAGUUCUUUGUUCAUCCUAGUUUGAUGCCUGGCUUGGUGGCCAAAGCUGUUUUGUGCCUAGGACACAUAA